AUACUUACCUGGAUGGGGUCAAUGGGUGAUCAUUAAGGCUCAUGGCCUAGGUUGGUGACCUCCAUUGCACUCAGGAGGGGUGCCCACUUAAGGUCUCCCAAAAUGGGAGAAUCUACAUCGUAAUUUGUGGAAGCGGGGGCCUGCGUUCGCGCGGCCCCUAC
Molecule: small nuclear RNA, 161 nt
Filed under: Phaseolus vulgaris (common bean)
Lineage: Eukaryota; Viridiplantae; Streptophyta; Magnoliopsida; Fabales; Fabaceae
Description: snRNA U1
Rfam family: U1 spliceosomal RNA
About the family: U1 is a small nuclear RNA (snRNA) component of the spliceosome (involved in pre-mRNA splicing). Its 5' end forms complementary base pairs with the 5' splice junction, thus defining the 5' donor site of an intron. There are significant differences in sequence and secondary structure between metazoan and yeast U1 snRNAs, the latter being much longer (568 nucleotides as compared to 164 nucleotides in human).
Source: Rfam by way of RNAcentral